GACAGAGGUGCCGAGCGUUAGGCGGAAUCACUGGGCUUAAAGCGUGUGUAGGCGGACCGUUAAGUACCUUGUGAAAUCCCCCGGCUCAACCGGGGAACGGCUGGGUAUACUGGCGGUCUUGAGCCAUCCAGGGGCAGUCGGAACAGACGGUGGAGCGGUGAAAUGCGUAGAUAUCGUCUGGAACGCCGAAGGUGAAAACAGAACUGCUGGGGAUGCGCUGACGCUGAGACACGAAAGCCAGGGGAGCGGAACGGGA
RNAcentral lists this ribosomal RNA (256 nucleotides) under uncultured bacterium. RNAcentral describes it as "partial 16S ribosomal RNA". It matches the Rfam family "Bacterial small subunit ribosomal RNA", at positions 524 to 777 of the family's 1533-position model. The record is from RNAcentral.